GGUUAAGCGACUAAGCGUACACGGUGGAUGCCCUGGCAGUCAGAGGCGAUGAAGGACGUGCUAAUCUGCGAUAAGCGUCGGUGAGGUGAUAUGAACCGUUAUAACCGGCGAUUUCCGAAUGGGGAAACCCAGUGUGAUUCGUCACACUAUCAUUAACUGAAUCCAUAGGUUAAUGAGGCGAACCGGGGGAACUGAAACAUCUAAGUACCCCGAGGAAAAGAAAUCAACCGAGAUUCCCCCAGUAGCGGCGAGCGAACGGGGAGGAGCCCAGAGCCUGAAUCAGUGUGUGUGUUAGUGGAAGCGUCUGGAAAGGCGCGCGAUACAGGGUGACAGCCCCGUACACAAAAAUGCACAUACUGUGAGCUCGAUGAGUAGGGCGGGACACGUGGUAUCCUGUCUGAAUAUGGGGGGACCAUCCUCCAAGGCUAAAUACUCCUGACUGACCGAUAGUGAACCAGUACCGUGAGGGAAAGGCGAAAAGAACCCCGGCGAGGGGAGUGAAAAAGAACCUGAAACCGUGUACGUACAAGCAGUGGGAGCCUCUUUAUGGGGUGACUGCGUACCUUUUGUAUAAUGGGUCAGCGACUUAUAUUCUGUAGCAAGGUUAACCGAAUAGGGGAGCCGAAGGGAAACCGAGUCUUAACUGGGCGUUAAGUUGCAGGGUAUAGACCCGAAACCCGGUGAUCUAGCCAUGGGCAGGUUGAAGGUUGGGUAACACUAACUGGAGGACCGAACCGACUAAUGUUGAAAAAUUAGCGGAUGACUUGUGGCUGGGGGUGAAAGGCCAAUCAAACCGGGAGAUAGCUGGUUCUCCCCGAAAGCUAUUUAGGUAGCGCCUCGUGAAUUCAUCUCCGGGGGUAGAGCACUGUUUCGGCAAGGGGGUCAUCCCGACUUACCAACCCGAUGCAAACUGCGAAUACCGGAGAAUGUUAUCACGGGAGACACACGGCGGGUGCUAACGUCCGUCGUGAAGAGGGAAACAACCCAGACCGCCAGCUAAGGUCCCAAAGUCAUGGUUAAGUGGGAAACGAUGUGGGAAGGCCCAGACAGCCAGGAUGUUGGCUUAGAAGCAGCCAUCAUUUAAAGAAAGCGUAAUAGCUCACUGGUCGAGUCGGCCUGCGCGGAAGAUGUAACGGGGCUAAACCAUGCACCGAAGCUGCGGCAGCGACACUAUGUGUUGUUGGGUAGGGGAGCGUUCUGUAAGCCUGUGAAGGUGUACUGUGAGGUAUGCUGGAGGUAUCAGAAGUGCGAAUGCUGACAUAAGUAACGAUAAAGCGGGUGAAAAGCCCGCUCGCCGGAAGACCAAGGGUUCCUGUCCAACGUUAAUCGGGGCAGGGUGAGUCGACCCCUAAGGCGAGGCCGAAAGGCGUAGUCGAUGGGAAACAGGUUAAUAUUCCUGUACUUGGUGUUACUGCGAAGGGGGGACGGAGAAGGCUAUGUUGGCCGGGCGACGGUUGUCCCGGUUUAAGCGUGUAGGCUGGUUUUCCAGGCAAAUCCGGAAAAUCAAGGCUGAGGCGUGAUGACGAGGCACUACGGUGCUGAAGCAACAAAUGCCCUGCUUCCAGGAAAAGCCUCUAAGCAUCAGGUAACAUCAAAUCGUACCCCAAACCGACACAGGUGGUCAGGUAGAGAAUACCAAGGCGCUUGAGAGAACUCGGGUGAAGGAACUAGGCAAAAUGGUGCCGUAACUUCGGGAGAAGGCACGCUGAUAUGUAGGUGAAGCGACUUGCUCGUGGAGCUGAAAUCAGUCGAAGAUACCAGCUGGCUGCAACUGUUUAUUAAAAACACAGCACUGUGCAAACACGAAAGUGGACGUAUACGGUGUGACGCCUGCCCGGUGCCGGAAGGUUAAUUGAUGGGGUUAGCGGUAACGCGAAGCUCUUGAUCGAAGCCCCGGUAAACGGCGGCCGUAACUAUAACGGUCCUAAGGUAGCGAAAUUCCUUGUCGGGUAAGUUCCGACCUGCACGAAUGGCGUAAUGAUGGCCAGGCUGUCUCCACCCGAGACUCAGUGAAAUUGAACUCGCUGUGAAGAUGCAGUGUACCCGCGGCAAGACGGAAAGACCCCGUGAACCUUUACUAUAGCUUGACACUGAACAUUGAGCCUUGAUGUGUAGGAUAGGUGGGAGGCUUUGAAGUGUGGACGCCAGUCUGCAUGGAGCCGGCCUUGAAAUACCACCCUUUAAUGUUUGAUGUUCUAACGUUGGCCCCUGACCGGGGUUGCGGACAGUGUCUGGUGGGUAGUUUGACUGGGGCGGUCUCCUCCUAAAGAGUAACGGAGGAGCACGAAGGUUGGCUAAUCCUGGUCGGACAUCAGGAGGUUAGUGCAAUGGCAUAAGCCAGCUUGACUGCGAGCGUGACGGCGCGAGCAGGUGCGAAAGCAGGUCAUAGUGAUCCGGUGGUUCUGAAUGGAAGGGCCAUCGCUCAACGGAUAAAAGGUACUCCGGGGAUAACAGGCUGAUACCGCCCAAGAGUUCAUAUCGACGGCGGUGUUUGGCACCUCGAUGUCGGCUCAUCACAUCCUGGGGCUGAAGUAGGUCCCAAGGGUAUGGCUGUUCGCCAUUUAAAGUGGUACGCGAGCUGGGUUUAGAACGUCGUGAGACAGUUCGGUCCCUAUCUGCCGUGGGCGCUGGAGAACUGAGGGGGGCUGCUCCUAGUACGAGAGGACCGGAGUGGACGCAUCACUGGUGUUCGGGUUGUCAUGCCAAUGGCACUGCCCGGUAGCUAAAUGCGGAAGAGAUAAGUGCUGAAAGCAUCUAAGCACGAAACUUGCCCCGAGAUGAGUUCUCCCUGACUCCUUGAGAGUCCUGAAGGAACGUUGAAGACGACGACGUUGAUAGGCCGGGUGUGUAAGCGCAGCGAUGCGUUGAGCUAACCGGUACUAAUGAACCGUGAGGCUUAACCUU
This 2904-nucleotide ribosomal RNA is filed under the name Escherichia coli. RNAcentral describes it as "23S ribosomal RNA". It matches the Rfam family "Bacterial large subunit ribosomal RNA". The record is from RNAcentral. Lineage: Bacteria; Pseudomonadati; Pseudomonadota; Gammaproteobacteria; Enterobacterales; Enterobacteriaceae.